RNAcentral lists this ribosomal RNA (488 nucleotides) under uncultured bacterium. Its description in RNAcentral is "partial 16S ribosomal RNA". It matches the Rfam family "Bacterial small subunit ribosomal RNA", at positions 30 to 506 of the family's 1533-position model. The record is from RNAcentral.
UUGAACGCUGGCGGCAUGCUUUACACAUGCAAGUCGAACGGCAGCACGAAAGAGCUUGCUCUUUUGGUGGCGAGUGGCGAACGGGUGAGUAAUGCAUCGGAACGUACCGAGUAAUGGGGGAUAACUGUCCGAAAGGAUAGCUAAUACCGCAUACGCUUUGAGAAGGAAAGUGGGGGCUCUUCGGACCUCACGUUAUUCGAGCGGCCGAUGUCUGAUUAGCUAGUUGGUGGGGUAAAGGCCUACCAAGGCGACGAUCAGUAGCGGGUCUGAGAGGAUGAUCCCCCAACAGGGAACUGAGAAACGGCCCAGCACCCGAGGGGAGGCACGAUGUGGUAAUUUGGGCAAAGGGGCGAAAGCCUGACCAACCCAGGCGGGUGUGUUGAAGAAGCCCUGCGGUUGUUAAAGGAUUUUUUUUGGGGAAAAAAAGGAUAGUUUUAAAACCAGUAUUUGUGGGGGGAACCAAAAGAAGAAGCCCGGGUAAACUCGGG